Molecule: ribosomal RNA, 480 nt
Filed under: uncultured bacterium
Lineage: Bacteria
Description: partial 16S ribosomal RNA
Rfam family: Bacterial small subunit ribosomal RNA
Source: RNAcentral
GAUGAACGCUAGCGGCAGGCCUAACACAUGCAAGUCGAGGGAGGGGUUACCUUCGGGUAACCAACACCGGCGCACGGGUGCGUAACGCGUAUACAAUCUGCCUUUCACAUAGGGAUAGCCCGAAGAAAUUUGGAUUAAUACCUAAUGGUAUAUAAGAGCGGCAUCGUUUUUAUAUUAAAGCUACGGUGGUGAAAGAUGAGUAUGCGUUCUAUUAGCUAGUUGGAGAGGUAACGGCUCCCCAAGGCGACGAUAGAUAGGGGUUCUGAGAGGGAUGUCCCCCACACUGGUACUGAGAUACGGACCAGACUCCUACGGGAGGCAGCAGUGAGGAAUAUUGGACAAUGGUCGGAAGACUGAUCCAGCCAUGCCGCGUGCAGGAUGAAGGUCCUAUGGAUUGUAAACUGCUUUUGUAAGGGAAGAAUAAGGAGUACGUGUACUUUGAUGACGGUACCUUACGAAUAAGCAGCGGCUAACUCCGUG